Molecule: unclassified non-coding RNA, 1753 nt
Filed under: Haliotis rubra (blacklip abalone)
Lineage: Eukaryota; Metazoa; Mollusca; Gastropoda; Lepetellida; Haliotidae
Description: uncharacterized LOC124274521, transcript variant X1
Source: RNAcentral
CCACAGAGGUACAAACAUCACUCGGAGAGAUUUCCAAAAGUGGGGAUCUUGUUCCAGUGGGGUAUUUCAACAUCCAUUUGGCCGACAAGUGACUUAUACAAGACGUAUGCAAUUGCUGAAGUUACAGGGGGCAUAGCAGUGAAUUCAACACAAGAAGCUGUUGCGGACUUUAAAACCAAAGUGACUGUCAAGUGAUCCUAUCAGUCUGCGCACAUUCAAGCCAUGGCGACAGCCCCCGCUGAGUAUGUGAUACUUGAUAUGAAUGCUAAUGGGGACUCCAAAGCAGGGAUGAGAGAGAAAAGAAAGCAUCACAUUUUAGAUCUGUUAAUGUUAAACAGACCCCUGGUGGUUUGCCUGCAAGAAUUUGUCUGGACGGGUAUUCAUUCGAGCGCAUUUAAAGACAUUGAUGUUCCCGACCAUUUUCAGUAUGAAGGCCACAAAGAAGCAGGUUUCAUAUUUGAUAUAAGGGAAAUCACAUACUCGAGGAUUGACAACAAAACAUCAGUGCGAAACAUGUAUGACAACAUGGUGGAGAGCAGUGACAUGGCCUCGGACUACUUUGAGCUGCCAAGACUUUGCGUCUAUAAAAUACAGAGCAAAGGAGCUCCUAAUUUUGAGAUCCUCUGUGCCAGUUGGCAUGGUCCUCAUAAGGUGUCUACGGAGCAAAAGCAAAAGGCCCUUGAUACGUUGGUCAAGUUUCUUCUGAAACUGAAACUGAAAGUGGAAGAGAAAGAGAAGAAUAUUCCACUCUUGCUUGGGGGUGACUUCAACAUGUCAGCAUCUGCUGUGAAGAGAAGACUCCCUUCGAAUGGCAGUCUGAUGCUACACACGCCAGAUGACUCGUCUAUAGAUAUGUUCAUCGUGAGCUCUGAUAUAGUGCAAAUAUUUAGCAUUUCAGAAGUUGAAACCAUGAAAAGAAAUUCAGCAUUUGACCAUUUGCAUCUGAAAAUAUAUUUACUCCUAAAAAAAUCAAACAGGGGACGAGCAAACAGGGGACGAAGGGCCACAAGGUUCUGAACAAACAUUGCCACCAACGAAGAAGAAAGCAUCGCCAUCAGAGGAUGAAUCCAAACAGAAAACUAAAGGCCAAGAAGGAAUGAGCCCUGAAAAAAACCCAGAGGACGAAGGGCCACAAGGUCCUCGUGAAGAACAAACAGGGGACGAAGGGCCACAAGGUUCUGAACAAACAUUGCCACCAACGAAGAAGAAAGCAUCGCCAUCAGAGGAUGAAUCCAAACAGAAAACUAAAGGCCAAGAAGGAAUGAGCCCUGAAAAACAGAGGACGAAGGGCCACAAGGUCUUCGUGAUGAACAAACAGGGGACGAAGGGCCACAAGGUUCUCCUGAAGCGGAAAGAGGGGACAGAGGACCACACGGUCCUUCUGAAGAACAUACAGCGGACGAAGGGCCACAAGGUCUUCCUGAAGCGGAAAGAGGGACGAAGGACCACUCGGUCCUCGUGAAGAACAAACAGGGGACGAAGGGCCACAAGGUCCUCAUGAAGAGCAAACAGGGGACGAAGGGCCACAAGGUUUGCUACUCUUAAAGCUCUAAAAGAGCUACUUGGGACCAAUAUAACCCAGAAUGUGGUGUUGAUUCAAAUGUAUUUGGGAACAUUUCAUAGCAUAGGGGCAUCCCUCUCAUCCUGUAUGGAGGUAUACUGAUUCAAUAAUGCAUGUAGAGGAUUCCAUCAUACAUGUGCUCAAUUUCGAAUGUUGAUCUAUGCUGAAGAAUUGUGGGAUUGGUUGGUAACU